This 334-nucleotide long non-coding RNA is filed under the name Mustela putorius furo (domestic ferret). RNAcentral describes it as "lncRNA (ENSMPUG00000024448.1)". Lineage: Eukaryota; Metazoa; Chordata; Mammalia; Carnivora; Mustelidae. The record is from RNAcentral.
GGAAGACAUACCUUUUGCCCUAUUCUCCGCUACUGGAAUGCCCUCCACACUCUUUUCUCUUGCUCUCCAAAUCCUAGGUGCGAGAGUCUGAGUCUGCGUGCGGCCCCUCCCGCCGUGUUUGAGGAAGCAAAGCACAGUCCGUCUGGGGCGAUGAACCCACCCAAGAGUGAAGCGUGAAGCUCGUGGGCAGAGACCGGCCACCCCCAUGAACCACCGUGGGACUCCGGGUAAACGGACAGAACGCUGCUUAUCCUAACAGCCAUUCCCGGUUCUGUCUCACAGCCUGGCUCAAGCUCCCACUGAGCUUUUCCACGGAUUGCCUCCUUUCCUCAAG